AGAGCCUGACUGCAUUUUACUCAGAUGUCGCCUCAUGUAUGGAGCAACCAUCGACUGGUCCUAAACAACUCAGAAAUCAUGAGCAAAGAUUACUCAGGCGACAGAAAAUUCGGCACUCAGAGAAUUCGAGUGCCCGAUGGCGACAACUGAGUAAAUUUUGAUCAAUUUGUACCAAGCAGUCGACUUAGUCUGGUUUUGUCAACAAACAAAUCAACUUAUUACAAGUAAGGAAAAAUCUCAUCAUAAAACAUCAUCGGAGGUGCUGGGAUCACAUUAAACGGAGUUUUGCAAAUACGGGCGCAGAGGUUCCGGAAUGGAUUCCUCAGACAAACCCGGUACGAUGGAGUUUAAAAAGGAUGGUGGCAAUGAAUACAAAUCAAUCCGGUAUGGCAAAAUAGUCGCAGACGGAACCCCGUCCCGAACCGAAGAAAAAGGUGAUUAGGUAAAAAUACUGAAAAAAAAAUUUUGAACAAUAAAAGUUUGAACCAUUUA
Uranotaenia lowii is the source of this 492-nucleotide long non-coding RNA. RefSeq lists it as uncharacterized. The transcript is spliced from 2 exons. NCBI's taxonomy places the organism in Eukaryota, Metazoa, Arthropoda, Insecta, Diptera, Culicidae. The record is from RefSeq and is a predicted model, not a curated record.